UGCCUACGGGAGGCAGCAGUGGGGAAUAUUGGACAAUGGGCGCAAGCCUGAUCCAGCCAUGCCGCGUGAGUGAUGAAGGCCUUAGGGUUGUAAAGCUCUUUCGGCGGGGAAGAUAAUGACGGUACCCGCAGAAGAAGCCCCGGCUAACUUCGUGCCAGCAGCCGCGGUAAUACGAAGGGGGUUAGCGUUGCUCGGAAUCACUGGGCGUAAAGCGCACGUAGGCGGGUUGCUAAGUCAGGGGUGAAAUCCUGGAGCUCAACUCCAGAACUGCCUUUGAUACUGGCGACCUUGAGUCCGGGAGAGGUGAGUGGAACUGCGAGUGUAGAGGUGAAAUUCGUAGAUAUUCGCAAGAACACCAGUGGCGAAGGCGGCUCACUGGCCCGGUACUGACGCUGAGGUGCGAAAGCGUGGGGAGCAAACAGGAUUAGAUACCCGGGUAGUC
Molecule: ribosomal RNA, 442 nt
Filed under: uncultured Rhodoplanes sp.
Lineage: Bacteria; Pseudomonadati; Pseudomonadota; Alphaproteobacteria; Hyphomicrobiales; Nitrobacteraceae
Description: bacterial SSU rRNA
Rfam family: Bacterial small subunit ribosomal RNA
Source: RNAcentral